AAUUUCAAGUUUCUUGAUUUCUGUACUUUUCUCAACAUGAACUGAUAACAGAUGCUUUAUAAACUGGCUCAGGUCCCAGAACCAUGCUUAGGAUUACAUUGCCCUGGAGCACAUGAGGAGGCCAGGGCCCUCUAAUGCAGUUCAGCAAGUGGAGAGGAUGGGCAUGGGAAAUAAAAGCAGGUCAUUCACUCUUUUUUCUCAUCACCCUCUAACUUCCUUUUGAUUCCCUCACUCUUUCUGUGUUCUUUUUCCCUUCCCUAAUUCUUCACCUCCCCCUCCUCUGCUGCCUCCUUGCUCUCCUCGCAGGUCAAGUUUACCCAUGGGGGAACUGGUUCCAGCCAAACCGCACCAACCUGUGGCAGGGAAAGUUCCCCAAGGGAGACAAAGCUGAGGAUGGCUUCCAUGGAGUCUCCCCAGUGAAUGCUUUCCCCGCCCAGAACAACUACGGUAAGAGCUGUCUUGGGCUUGCGGCUGUGCCCAUGAACUGGCUGUUGGGACCAUCGUGUCUGAGAGAGGAGGCAGAGGGAAG
RNAcentral lists this small RNA (529 nucleotides) under Pan troglodytes (chimpanzee). RNAcentral's name for it is "retained intron". The record is from RNAcentral. Lineage: Eukaryota; Metazoa; Chordata; Mammalia; Primates; Hominidae.